RNAcentral lists this transfer RNA (63 nucleotides) under Stenchaetothrips biformis. RNAcentral describes it as "tRNA-His". Lineage: Eukaryota; Metazoa; Arthropoda; Insecta; Thysanoptera; Thripidae. The record is from RNAcentral.
AUUUUGUUAGUCUAAAAAAGAUAUUGAUUUGUGGAAUCAAAGAUGAUUUAUCUUCACAAAAUU